UCCCUGGUGGCUCAGAUGGUAAAGAAUCCACCUGCAAUGUGGGAGACCUAGGUUCAAUCCCUGGGUUGGGAA
Molecule: transfer RNA, 72 nt
Filed under: Capra hircus (goat)
Lineage: Eukaryota; Metazoa; Chordata; Mammalia; Artiodactyla; Bovidae
Also listed under: 1 other name
Rfam family: tRNA
About the family: Transfer RNA (tRNA) molecules are approximately 80 nucleotides in length. Their secondary structure includes four short double-helical elements and three loops (D, anti-codon, and T loops). Further hydrogen bonds mediate the characteristic L-shaped molecular structure. tRNAs have two regions of fundamental functional importance: the anti-codon, which is responsible for specific mRNA codon recognition, and the 3' end, to which the tRNAs corresponding amino acid is attached (by aminoacyl-tRNA synthetases). tRNAs cope with the degeneracy of the genetic code in two manners: having more than one tRNA (with a specific anti-codon) for a particular amino acid; and 'wobble' base-pairing, i.e. permitting non-standard base-pairing at the 3rd anti-codon position.
Source: Rfam by way of RNAcentral